AAAGGUUAAUAAAGAAUUUAAUUUGUCCUUAAUUUUAUUUUUAUUGGCCCAAAUUUAACAACCCUUUGAAAUAUCCAACAGUUGAUGGCCCCAGUAUUAGUAUAAUCCAAGCCUGAAACGAAGUGACUUUUGCUAUAAAUACUUCUCUUCCCCCAUUGUAUUUGGCCCCAAGGAAAAGAAGUAUGGCUAAAACUAUAAUAUCCAUUUUUAUUUUUGCUAUCCUCGUAAUCUACGGCUUUCUUGUAAACGGAGAAGGUGGACAUGAAUUGGGUUCAAAACUUUCUCAUAAUAUUCUACAUGUAAGCAAAAAAUUCCGGGGAAGAUGUACUCAUGGGCCACACUACACGGCUAGGUGUAGAUUCGAUUGCGUGUCGGAGGGUUAUAAAAGUGGUGUAUGCUUCAGCUAUAAGUGUUGCUGCUUUUACAAGCUACAUCCCAACCGGUAGAGAGAAAGAUGCAAGGAGAAUAAAGGAGACAGAAAAGGGGAUCACGUCUCUUGAAGCGAAAUGUCACUAGUUUGAAUUUUUCCUCUUGUGUAAAUAUAUCAAAAAAAAAAAAAAAAAGACAGAAAAAAGAGGAAAGGGAUCGAGAGAUAUAAGGCACUACGAUUGUAAUUGUCUUACUAAAAUAAAUUGUGCACAUGGUUGGGUUUGUGAUUGCCACUAUAUAUAUAGAUAUGUGGUAAGAUGUGUAGUUUAAAGUUGUUUGUAACAAUAUGUUGUCAGAAUUACUCCAUAAUAUAAUAGAUGGUGAUACUUCUUAGAAA
Alnus glutinosa is the source of this 766-nucleotide long non-coding RNA. RefSeq lists it as uncharacterized. Lineage: Eukaryota; Viridiplantae; Streptophyta; Magnoliopsida; Fagales; Betulaceae. The transcript has 2 exons. The record is from RefSeq and is a predicted model, not a curated record.